This 550-nucleotide ribosomal RNA is filed under the name uncultured Glomus. RNAcentral describes it as "SSU rRNA". It matches the Rfam family "Eukaryotic small subunit ribosomal RNA", at positions 548 to 1098 of the family's 1831-position model. Lineage: Eukaryota; Fungi; Glomeromycota; Glomeromycetes; Glomerales; Glomeraceae. The record is from RNAcentral.
UUGGAGGGCAAGUCUGGUGCCAGCAGCCGCGGUAAUUCCAGCUCCAAUAGCGUAUAUUAAAGUUGUUGCAGUUAAAAAGCUCGUAGUCGAAUUUCGGGAUCAAAUAAUCGGUCGUGCCUCCGGUACGUACUGGUUUUAUUGGUUCCUCCCUUCUGACGAACCAUGAUGUCAUUAAUUUGAUGUGGUGGAGAAUCAGGACUGUUACCUUGAAAAAAUUAGAGUGCUUAAAGCAGGCUAUUGCCUGAAUACAUUAGCAUGGAAUAAUGAAAUAGGACGGCAUGGUUCUAUUUUGUUGGUUUCUAGGAUCACCGUAAUGAUUAAUAGGGAUAGUUGGGGGCAUUAGUAUUCAAUUGUCAGAGGUGAAAUUCUUGGAUUUAUUGAAGACUAACUUCUGCGAAAGCAUUUGCCAAGGAUGUUUUCAUUAAUCAAGAACGAAAGUUAGGGGAUCGAAGACGAUCAGAUACCGUCGUAGUCUUAACCAUAAACUAUGCCGACUAGGGAUCGGACGAUGUUAAUUUUUUAAUGACUCGUUCGGCGCCUUACGGGAAAC